This 77-nucleotide transfer RNA is filed under the name Oxalobacteraceae bacterium. Its description in RNAcentral is "tRNA-Arg". It matches the Rfam family "tRNA". From Rfam's summary of the family: Transfer RNA (tRNA) molecules are approximately 80 nucleotides in length. Their secondary structure includes four short double-helical elements and three loops (D, anti-codon, and T loops). The record is from RNAcentral. Lineage: Bacteria; Pseudomonadati; Pseudomonadota; Betaproteobacteria; Burkholderiales; Oxalobacteraceae.
GCUCCCUUAGCUCAACUGGAUAGAGCAUCAGACUACGAAUCUGAGGGUCGGGAGUUCGAGUCUCUCCGAGCGCGCCA